AGAAGAAGAAGAAGAGGGAAAAAAAAAAGGUGCUCCAGCAGGAGGAAGAAGAAGAAGAAAAAGAAAAAGAGAAGAAAAAAUUGCUCCGCCUGGCCUUCGCUUUUUUUUUCCGGCGGAAAAAAAAAGAACGAGAGAACGAAGAGGAGAGAGAAAGAGGAAAGAGAAAAAGUAAUAAGAGUAUUUUGGUCAGUUUGCUGAAAGAGCGGACUGAAUCUGUAAAAACGAAAAAGAUGGCCCGAUUUUGCAA
This 247-nucleotide long non-coding RNA is filed under the name Ananas comosus (pineapple). Its description in RNAcentral is "long non-coding RNA (ACOM_LNC002238)". Lineage: Eukaryota; Viridiplantae; Streptophyta; Magnoliopsida; Poales; Bromeliaceae. The record is from RNAcentral.